Molecule: ribosomal RNA, 343 nt
Filed under: Bacillus licheniformis
Lineage: Bacteria; Bacillati; Bacillota; Bacilli; Caryophanales; Bacillaceae
Description: bacterial SSU rRNA
Rfam family: Bacterial small subunit ribosomal RNA
Source: RNAcentral
AACUGGAGGGAGAGGUGGGGAUGACGUCAAAUCAUCAUGCCCCUUAUGACCUGGGCUACACACGUGCUACAAUGGGCAGAACAAAGGGCAGCGAAGCCGCGAGGCUAAGCCAAUCCCACAAAUCUGUUCUCAGUUCGGAUCGCAGUCUGCAACUCGACUGCGUGAAGCUGGAAUCGCUAGUAAUCGCGGAUCAGCAUGCCGCGGUGAAUACGUUCCCGGGCCUUGUACACACCGCCCGUCACACCACGAGAGUUUGUAACACCCGAAGUCGGUGAGGUAACCUUUUGGAGCCAGCCGCCGAAGGUGGGACAGAUUAUUGGGGUGAAGUCGUAACAAGAGCCCU